AAUGAACGCUGGCGGCAGGCCUAACACAUGCAAGUCGAACGGAUCCUUCGGGAUUAGUGGCGGACGGGUGAGUAACGCGUGGGAACAUACCCAAAGGUACGGAAUAGCCUCGGGAAACUGGGAGUAAUACCGUAUGUGCUCGAAAGAGGAAAGAUUUAUCGCCUUUGGAUUGGCCCGCGUUGGAUUGGGUAGUUGGUGGGGUAAUGGCCUACCAAGCCGACGAUCCAUAGCUGGUUUGAGAGGAUGAUCAGCCACACUGGGACUGGGACACGGCCCAGACUCCUACGGGAGGCAGCAGUGGGGAAUCUUAGACAAUGGGGGAAACCCUGAUCUAGCCAUGCCGCGUGAUCGAUGAAGGCCUUAGGGUUGUAAAGAUCUUUCAGGUGGGAAGAUAAUGACUGUACCACCAGAAGAAGCCCCGGCUAACUCCGUGCCAGCCGCCGCAGUAA
Molecule: ribosomal RNA, 449 nt
Filed under: uncultured bacterium
Lineage: Bacteria
Description: partial 16S ribosomal RNA
Rfam family: Bacterial small subunit ribosomal RNA
Source: RNAcentral